Molecule: ribosomal RNA, 528 nt
Filed under: uncultured bacterium
Lineage: Bacteria
Description: bacterial SSU rRNA
Rfam family: Bacterial small subunit ribosomal RNA
Source: RNAcentral
AAUAGAUACCCAGGUAGUCCACGCCGUAAACGAUGGAUACUAGCUGUUGGGGGCGACCUCAGUGGCUAAGCGAAAGUGAUAAGUAUCCCACCUGGGGAGUACGUUCGCAAGAAUGAAACUCAAAGGAAUUGACGGGGGCCCGCACAAGCGGUGGAGCAUGUGGUUUAAUUCGAUGAUACGCGAGGAACCUUACCAAGGCUUAAAUGCAGACUGACCGUUUUGGAAACAGAACUUUCGCAAGACAGUCUACAAGGUGCUGCAUGGUUGUCGUCAGCUCGUGCCGUGAGGUGUCAGGUUAAGUCCUAUAACGAGCGCAACCCUGUUGUUAGUUGCCAGCGAGUAGUGUCGGGAACUCUAACAAGACUGCCAGUGCAAACUGUGAGGAAGGUGGGGAUGACGUCAAAUCAUCACGGCCCUUACGCCUUGGGCUACACACGUGCUACAAUGGCCGGUACAGAGAGCAGCCACCUCGCGAGGGGGAGCGAAUCUACAAAGCCGGUCACAGUUCGGAUCGGAGUCUGCAACUCG